This 253-nucleotide ribosomal RNA is filed under the name uncultured bacterium. RNAcentral describes it as "partial 16S ribosomal RNA". It matches the Rfam family "Bacterial small subunit ribosomal RNA", at positions 524 to 776 of the family's 1533-position model. The record is from RNAcentral.
UACGUAGGGUGCGAGCGUUAAUCGGAAUUACUGGGCGUAAAGCGUGCGUAGGCGGUUCUCCAAGUCCGUUGUGAAAGCCCCGGGCUCAACCUGGGAAUGGCAGUGGAAACUAGGGGACUGGAAUCUGGCAGAGGGGGGUGGAAUGCCGCGUGUAGCAGUGAAAUGCGUAGAGAUGCGGCGGAACACCGAUGGCGAAGGCAGCCCCCUGGGCUGAGAUUGACGCUCAGGCACGAGAGCGUGGGGAGCAAACAGG